Molecule: transfer RNA, 72 nt
Filed under: Haliotis rufescens (red abalone)
Lineage: Eukaryota; Metazoa; Mollusca; Gastropoda; Lepetellida; Haliotidae
Description: tRNA-Glu
Rfam family: tRNA
About the family: Transfer RNA (tRNA) molecules are approximately 80 nucleotides in length. Their secondary structure includes four short double-helical elements and three loops (D, anti-codon, and T loops).
Source: RNAcentral
UCCAAUGUGGUCUAGUGGUUAGGAAUCCUGGCUUUCACCCAGGCGGCCCGGGUUCGAUUCCCGGCAUUGGAA